This 205-nucleotide ribosomal RNA is filed under the name uncultured bacterium. Its description in RNAcentral is "partial 16S ribosomal RNA". It matches the Rfam family "Bacterial small subunit ribosomal RNA", at positions 524 to 726 of the family's 1533-position model. The record is from RNAcentral.
UACGAAGGGGGCUAGCGUUGUUCGGAAUCACUGGGCGUAAAGCGCACGCAGGCGGAUUGAUAAGUCAGGGGUGAAAUCCCGGAGCUCAACUUCGGAAUUGCCUUUGAUACUGUCUAUCUUCGAGUUCGGGAGAGGUUGGCGGAAUUCCUAGUGUAGAGGUGAAAUUCGUAGAUAUUAGGAAGAACACCGGUGGCGAAGGCGGGUC